UCAUUUAAAGAAAGCGUAAUAGCUCACUGGUCGAGUCGGCCUGCGCGGAAGAUGUAACGGGGCUAAACCAUGCACCGAAGCUGCGGCAGCGACGCUGAUGCGUUGUUGGGUAGGGGAGCGUUCUGUAAGCCUGCGAAGGUGGCCUGUGAGGGUUGCUGGAGGUAUCAGAAGUGCGAAUGCUGACAUAAGUAACGAUAAAGCGGGUGAAAAGCCCGCUCGCCGGAAGACCAAGGGUUCCUGUCCAACGUUAAUCGGGGCAGGGUGAGUCGACCCCUAAGGCGAGGCCGAAAGGCGUAGUCGAUGGGAAACGGGUUAAUAUUCCCGUACUUGGUGUUACUGCGAAGGGGGGACGGAGAAGGCUAUGUUGGCCGGGCGACGGUUGUCCCGGUUUAAGCGUGUAGGUGUGUGUUCCAGGUAAAUCCGGUUCACUUUAACACUGAGGCGUGAUGACGAGGCACUACGGUGCUGAAGCAACAAAUGCCCUGCUUCCAGGAAAAGCCUCUAAGCAUCAGGUAACAUCAAAUCGUACCCCAAACCGACACAGGUGGUCAGGUAGAGAAUACCAAGGCGCUUGAGAGAACUCGGGUGAAGGAACUAGGCAAAAUGGUGCCGUAACUUCGGGAGAAGGCACGCUGACACGUAGGUGAAGUGAUUUACUCAUGGAGCUGAAGUCAGUCGAAGAUACCAGCUGGCUGCAACUGUUUAUUAAAAACACAGCACUGUGCAAACACGAAAGUGGACGUAUACGGUGUGACGCCUGCCCGGUGCCGGAAGGUUAAUUGAUGGGGUCAGCGCAAGCGAAGCUCCUGAUCGAAGCCCCGGUAAACGGCGGCCGUAACUAUAACGGUCCUAAGGUAGCGAAAUUCCUUGUCGGGUAAGUUCCGACCUGCACGAAUGGCGUAAUGAUGGCCAGGCUGUCUCCACCCGAGACUCAGUGAAAUUGAACUCGCUGUGAAGAUGCAGUGUACCCGCGGCAAGACGGAAAGACCCCGUGAACCUUUACUAUAGCUUGACACUGAACAUUGAGCCUUGAUGUGUAGGAUAGGUGGGAGGCUUUGAAGUGUGGACGCCAGUCUGCAUGGAGCCGACCUUGAAAUACCACCCUUUAAUGUUUGAUGUUCUAACGUGGACCCGUGAUCCGGGUUGCGGACAGUGUCUGGUGGGUAGUUUGACUGGGGCGGUCUCCUCCUAAAGAGUAACGGAGGAGCACGAAGGUUGGCUAAUCCUGGUCGGACAUCAGGAGGUUAGUGCAAUGGCAUAAGCCAGCUUGACUGCGAGCGUGACGGCGCGAGCAGGUGCGAAAGCAGGUCAUAGUGAUCCGGUGGUUCUGAAUGGAAGGGCCAUCGCUCAACGGAUAAAAGGUACUCCGGGGAUAACAGGCUGAUACCGCCCAAGAGUUCAUAUCGACGGCGGUGUUUGGCACCUCGAUGUCGGCUCAUCACAUCCUGGGGCUGAAGUAGGUCCCAAGGGUAUGGCUGUUCGCCAUUUAAAGUGGUACGCGAGCUGGGUUUAGAACGUCGUGAGACAGUUCGGUCCCUAUCUGCCGUGGGCGCUGGAGAACUGAGGGGGGCUGCUCCUAGUACGAGAGGACCGGAGUGGACGCAUCACUGGUGUUCGGGUUGUCAUGCCAAUGGCACUGCCCGGUAGCUAAAUGCGGAAGAGAUAAGUGCUGAAAGCAUCUAAGCACGAAACUUGCCCCGAGAUGAGUUCUCCCUGAGACUUUAGGUCUCCUGAAGGAACGU
This 1742-nucleotide ribosomal RNA is filed under the name Salmonella enterica subsp. enterica serovar Montevideo. RNAcentral's name for it is "partial 23S ribosomal RNA". It matches the Rfam family "Bacterial large subunit ribosomal RNA", at positions 1119 to 2838 of the family's 2925-position model. Lineage: Bacteria; Pseudomonadati; Pseudomonadota; Gammaproteobacteria; Enterobacterales; Enterobacteriaceae. The record is from RNAcentral.